Long non-coding RNA from Gorilla gorilla gorilla (western lowland gorilla), 359 nucleotides. RefSeq lists it as uncharacterized. The record is from RefSeq and is a predicted model, not a curated record. The transcript is spliced from 3 exons. NCBI's taxonomy places the organism in Eukaryota, Metazoa, Chordata, Mammalia, Primates, Hominidae.
UAUUGAAGAGGAGGGGACAAUAAGAGUGUAAUGCCAGAAACAGGGAUCAUGUAGUAUCACCUUAGGUUCAAUAUAUCACCAUCACUCUCCUUACGUUCUCUUAGAUUCCCAAUUUUCUUAUCAGUAUUAUCAGGAUAUGACAGAAUGAUGGUCAGACAUCUUCCAUGAGUUCAGGCAGCACCAUUUCUAAUGAGCACUAUUAUGAAGAGUGAACAUCACCCGAGGACUUUGCAUUGUCUUCUGGGGAAAGGCACUACCCGACCACCACUCUGGGCAGCAUCACCACCAUCACCAGGACCAACAGCCUUGUCGACAUGACCACCCGCUGGGAGCAAGAAACAGGUGGUCUCCCCUCCCUG